RNAcentral lists this ribosomal RNA (431 nucleotides) under uncultured Desulfobulbaceae bacterium. RNAcentral's name for it is "bacterial SSU rRNA". It matches the Rfam family "Bacterial small subunit ribosomal RNA", at positions 358 to 780 of the family's 1533-position model. Lineage: Bacteria; Pseudomonadati; Thermodesulfobacteriota; Desulfobulbia; Desulfobulbales; Desulfobulbaceae. The record is from RNAcentral.
GGAAUAUUGCGCAAUGGGGGCAACCCUGACGCAGCGACGCCGCGUGGGUGAGGAAGGCUUUCGGGUCGUAAAACCCUGUCAGAAGGGAAGAAGUGCUUAUGGGCUAAUACCUUGUAAGUUUGACGGUACCUUCAAAGGAAGCACCGGCUAACUCCGUGCCAGCAGCCGCGGUAAUACGGAGGGUGCAAGCGUUGUUCGGAAUCACUGGGCGUAAAGGGCGCGUAGGCGGCUUGGCAAGUCAGAUGUGAAAGCCCACGGCUUAACCGUGGAAGUGCAUUUGAAACUGCUUGGCUUGAGUAUCAGAGGGGAAAGUGGAAUUCCCGGUGUAGAGGUGAAAUUCGUAGAUAUCGGGAGGAAUACCGGUGGCGAAGGCGACUUUCUGGCUGAAUACUGACGCUGAGGCGCGAAAGCGUGGGGAGCAAACAGGAUUA